AUACUUACCUGGCAGGGGAGACACCUUCAUCAUGAAGGAGGUUUUCCCAGGGUGAGGCUCAUCCAUUGCACUGCGGGUGUGCUGACCCCUGCGAUUUCCCCAAAUGCGGGAAACUCGACUGCAUAAUUUGUGGUAGUGGGGGACUGUGUUCGCGCUUUCCCCUA
This 164-nucleotide small nuclear RNA is filed under the name Podarcis muralis (Common wall lizard). RNAcentral's name for it is "U1 spliceosomal RNA (ENSPMRG00000014413.1)". It matches the Rfam family "U1 spliceosomal RNA". Rfam says of the family: U1 is a small nuclear RNA (snRNA) component of the spliceosome (involved in pre-mRNA splicing). Its 5' end forms complementary base pairs with the 5' splice junction, thus defining the 5' donor site of an intron. The record is from Rfam by way of RNAcentral. Lineage: Eukaryota; Metazoa; Chordata; Lepidosauria; Squamata; Lacertidae.